AUCAGUGAGUGAAUCAAGAGAUCUAAAAAGAAUUUUCACUUAGUAAAAAGACUAGGUCUACAUCAGGCUUUUUUUCUAUUCAGAGGUUUGGCUCCCUGCCAUAGGUUCAGGCAAUAAAUUGGUUGUAUCAGAGCUGCUUCCAGCACUCUGCUGAGUAGACGUGUUCUAACUUGGACAAUAGCUGGCACAAUAAGAACUGGAAAACAGUGGCAACUCAGGUUGCCAGGAUUUCUCAAGUACUUCCACAAUGCUGCUCCGCUCAGGCCGCAAAAAGCCUUACAAAGUACCUGUCAGCAGAAGACGAUAUGUUGAAAAGAAAUCUCAACCGAGGGCUAGUAAAACAGUUUCAGAAAAGUCAGAUAUCGCAUGGUUAAGCGUGUUCACAAGCAAUGAACCAACAAUUUGUGGUGCUAAAAAUUUGGUGAUCCUCAUGCAGAGAUCAAAGCUUAAUGAAUUUGUCCUAUUGUGCAAGGGUGAAAAGCAGCUCUGUCUAAAGGUCUUAAAAGCAUGCUGUUCAGAGCCAGAUUACCCUACACUGAAAAGAUGCAACAUGAAAACAUGCAAGCAUGAAAAUCCAGACUUUGAACAGCUGAGGGAAGACAAUCACUUUUUCAUCAUGCAUUACCAAGGAGAUUCAGUGAAGUUCCAGUGCUACAAAGACACAAGUUACUAUCUGCAUGUGAAUGAGGACUCACUAGAUAUACGCAAGCCGGAAGACACAGAACCUGAUGGGGAGAAAAAUUUUUACUUCAGGGUGUCAUAUUUGCAGGAAAAGUAAUUUGUCUACCUUUCAGUUGCCUAAGUGUCCAUACAACUCCUAUAAUAGGCUAACAGAAAAAAAGGAAGAUUGAGAUCAUGUAGAACUAAUCUCCAUUUUGCCUUUUUUAAAACUUUUCUGUACCAUCUUGAGUCACAAUAUUCCAUUUUAUGAGAGUAACAUCCUUUAGUUCUGUUCUAUACAAUAGGAAGAGAAGUGGCUAAGUUGGGAAAGCAAACUAAGCAGUCUAUUGGCAUCGUAUCUGCACUAUUAUUGUUUUAAGUAGCUGAGUUCUUCCUGAAGAGAAAAAAUACACAGGCAUAUCUCAGAAACAGAGAUACAAGAGUGUAUCACACAUAGAUAUGAAAUAUAAAGCACAGUUAGUUUUCCACAUUGUAAACAUUUUCCUCUUUUAAAACGCAUACCUUAAAUAGGAAUCCUAAUGUCAAUCAAUCACACCAAUGCACAUGGCAGUAAGGCAAUUCAUCUAGAGUAGACAAAACCUCAAAGGGUUGUGAGUCCUUAAAAAAAGUUUGUUUUUUUCCCAAUAACCAUGCAGAGUUUCACUGCUAGAUUCACAGUUGUGUUCUCCAGAUAGUGAAAAUCAUUUUGCUGAUUUCAAUACUGAGUGAACAGAAGAAAGCUUUUGACUUUUCCCUAAAUAAUACUCAUGACUUCUGGAUCUGUUAAGUGGUCAGCAACGUCAGCAGAAAAAAACAGAUACUGAGUGCAGCAUAUAUUCCAUUAGAACUAUUGUGCUGCACAAGGAAUAAAUUCAAUUGGAUCUCAGGUAAAAUUCCA
RNAcentral lists this long non-coding RNA (1558 nucleotides) under Struthio camelus australis. RNAcentral's name for it is "lncRNA (ENSSCUG00000001936.1)". Lineage: Eukaryota; Metazoa; Chordata; Aves; Struthioniformes; Struthionidae. The record is from RNAcentral.